AGGAAUAUUGGUCAAUGGACGCAAGUCUGAACCAGCCAUGCCGCGUGAAGGAUGAAGGUCCUCUGGAUUGUAAACUUCUUUUAUCUGGGACGAAAACGGGAUUUUUAUCUCAAUUGACGGUACCAGAGGAAUAAGCACCGGCUAACUCCGUGCCAGCAGCCGCGGUAAUACGGAGGGUGCGAGCGUUAUCCGGAUUUACUGGGUUUAAAGGGUGCGUAGGUGGGCUUAUAAGUCAGUGGUGAAAUCUCCGAGCUUAACUUGGAAACUGCCGUUGAUACUAUAGGUCUUGAAUUAUCUGGAGGUGAGCGGAAUAUGUCAUGUAGCGGUGAAAUGCUUAGAUAUGACAUAGAACACCAAUUGCGAAGGCAGCUUACUACAUAUAAAUUGACGCUGAGGCACGAAAGCGUGGGGAUCAAACA
RNAcentral lists this ribosomal RNA (419 nucleotides) under uncultured bacterium. Its description in RNAcentral is "bacterial SSU rRNA". It matches the Rfam family "Bacterial small subunit ribosomal RNA", at positions 357 to 774 of the family's 1533-position model. The record is from RNAcentral.